GAUGAGAUAAUGGAUAAUAAAUAAAACCUAAAUAAAUAAUAUAGAUUGAGUGAGAUUGUUAAUAUGUUAUAGGUGUUUGGUAGUUAAGAUAUAAUCGUUGAGAUAACUAAUAUUUUUGUUUGAUAGACAAUAUAUAAGUUAAGAUUAAAUGAACAAAUUGUCUAAAAAAAGAUUAAUUUAGUAAAUUACCUUUUUGCCCUUUAUUUAAGAAAUAAAAAAAUAUAAAAAAAACUAUCAAAAAAUCUGAUAGUACACGUACCCCCACCCCAUUUUCUUCUUCUUCUCAUUCUCGCCACCCCCACCCAAAUUUGUUGUGCAGAUCAUCCCCCCCCAACCUCACCCCAAAUUUACAGUGCAGAUCCUCCCCCCACCCCCAACCCUUUUCUUCUUCUUCUCAGCCUCGCCAACCCCCAUCUGCCCAAUUUAUUCAACGAGAAUGCACCCCCUUGCACCAGAUCCAACCCCAUCUGCCCAACCCCCAACGGGCGACUCAAAGCGAGGCGAGGCGGGGCCCUAUCUUCGUCGACUCUUCGUCGUUCGCCGUCCAAAGGGACGAGACUCAAAGGGAGGCGAGGCGGCGGCAACUCUUCGUCGUUCGCCGUCCAGCCGCAAGAAUGAGAGCGGGCAAGGAGGGGGCCCUAUCAUCGGUCGGCAGCGGCUGAUGAGAGAGGCGAUGAUGGCGGCCCUCCGGCUGACUGAGGCUGUCGUGGCUGAGGGAAGGGAAGGGAGACGGCGGCGUGGUUGACGGAAGGCGAGAGGAGGACCGUGAGAGAGACGAGGGAGGCCAAAAUUGGAAGACCCAAAAUUAGUGUCAUCUACUGUAGAAAAGGGAUUGGGGGGAGGGGGGGCGAGGGCAGGGUUCCAUAAUCUAAGUGUAACAAUAGAAUUACAGCGGGCCUCGAUUUUCUUGCGGGCCGAGGCUAUAACUUAUGUUGCCUAUCAAACAUGCAAUUAGGGGAGAUAAAUAAGCUAAUACCCCCUUGUAACCCCUAACAAACAC
Molecule: long non-coding RNA, 1000 nt
Filed under: Salvia miltiorrhiza (redroot sage)
Lineage: Eukaryota; Viridiplantae; Streptophyta; Magnoliopsida; Lamiales; Lamiaceae
Description: long non-coding RNA (SMIL_LNC008800)
Source: RNAcentral